ACCAGACUCCUACGGGAGGCAGCAGUGGGGAAUAUUGGACAAUGGGGGGAACCCUGAUCCAGCGACGCCGCGUGAGUGAAGAAGUAUUUCGGUAUGUAAAGCUCUAUCAGCAGGGAAGAAAGAAAUGACGGUACCUGACUAAGAAGCCCCGGCUAACUACGUGCCAGCAGCCGCGGUAAUACGUAGGGGGCAAGCGUUAUCCGGAUUUACUGGGUGUAAAGGGAGCGUAGACGGCGAUGCAAGUCUGAAGUGAAAGGCGGGGGCCCAACCCCCGGACUGCUUUGGAACUGCGCGGCUGGAGUGCAGGAGGGGCAGGCGGAAUUCCUGGUGUAGCGGUGAAAUGCGUAGAUAUCAGGAGGAACACCGGUGGCGAAGGCGGCUUACUGGACGGCAACUGACGCUGAGGCUCGAAAGCGUGGGGAGCAAACAGGAUUAGAUACCCUGGUAUG
Molecule: ribosomal RNA, 449 nt
Filed under: uncultured bacterium
Lineage: Bacteria
Description: partial 16S ribosomal RNA
Rfam family: Bacterial small subunit ribosomal RNA
Source: RNAcentral